AACGAACGCUGGCGGCGUGCUUAACACAUGCAAGUCUGACGGGAAUGUCGGCUUCGGCUGACUAGUACCGUGGCGAACGGGUGAGUAACACGUGGGUAAUCUGCCCUUGAGUUCGGGAUAACCUUGCGAAAGCGGGGCUAAUACCGGAUAAGACCACGCCCUGCAUGCAGGGUGCGGUAAAAGGUGGCCUCUUCUUGAAAGCUAUCACUCGAGGAUGAGCCCGCGGCCUAUUAGCUAGUUGGUAGGGUAAUGGCCUACCAAGGCGACGAUGGGUAGCCGGCCUGAGAGGGUGUACGGCCACACUGGCACUGAGACACGGGCCAGACUCCUACGGGAGGCAGCAGUGGGGAAUUUUGCGCAAUGGGGGAAACCCUGACGCAGCAACGCCGCGUGAGUGAUGAAGGCCUUCGGGUUGUAAAGCUCUUUUAGUGGGGAAGAAGCCCUCCCUGGCUAAUAUCCAGGGGGUCUGACGGUACCCACAGAAAAAGUUCCGGCUAACUACGUGCCAGCAGCCGCGGUAAUACGUAGGGAGCAAGCGUUGUUCGGAAUUAUUGGGCGUAAAGAGCGCGUAGGCGGUUUGGUAAGUCUGGUGUGAAAUCCCGGAGCUUAACUCCGGAACUGCAUUGGAUACUGCCAGGCUU
Molecule: ribosomal RNA, 641 nt
Filed under: uncultured bacterium
Lineage: Bacteria
Description: bacterial SSU rRNA
Rfam family: Bacterial small subunit ribosomal RNA
Source: RNAcentral